This 64-nucleotide transfer RNA is filed under the name Ptilodactylidae sp. 2 ACP-2013. Its description in RNAcentral is "tRNA-Leu". Lineage: Eukaryota; Metazoa; Arthropoda; Insecta; Coleoptera; Ptilodactylidae. The record is from RNAcentral.
UUCUAAUGUGGCAGAAUAGUGUAAUGGAUUUAAACCCCAUCCAUAAAAUUUAAUUUUCUUUAGA